Molecule: ribosomal RNA, 221 nt
Filed under: Astrosyne radiata
Lineage: Eukaryota; Bacillariophyta; Fragilariophyceae; Cyclophorales; Cyclophoraceae
Description: partial Bacterial large subunit ribosomal RNA
Rfam family: Bacterial large subunit ribosomal RNA
Source: RNAcentral
GUAAUAGCUCACUGGACUAGUGGUUCUGCGCGGAAAAUGUAACGGGGCUCAAGCGUCGUACCGAAGCUACGAACUUCUUCGGAAGUGGUAGGAGAGCAUUGUGUGUGCUGAUGAAGGCGUACCGUAAGGAGCGCUGGAGGUCCCACAAGAGCUGAUGCUGAAAUGAGUAGCGACAAGGAGGGCGAGAAUCCCUCCCACCGUAAAUCUAAGGGUUCCUGGGC